GAUUCGUCACACUAUCAUUAACUGAAUCCAUAGGUUAAUGAGGCGAACCGGGGGAACUGAAACAUCUAAGUACCCCGAGGAAAAGAAAUCAACCGAGAUUCCCCCAGUAGCGGCGAGCGAACGGGGAGGAGCCCAGAGCCUGAAUCAGCAUGUGUGUUAGUGGAAGCGUCUGGAAAGGCGCGCGAUACAGGGUGACAGCCCCGUACACAAAAGCGCAUGUGCUGUGAGCUCGAUGAGUAGGGCGGGACACGUGGUAUCCUGUCUGAAUAUGGGGGGACCAUCCUCCAAGGCUAAAUACUCCUGACUGACCGAUAGUGAACCAGUACCGUGAGGGAAAGGCGAAAAGAACCCCGGCGAGGGGAGUGAAAAAGAACCUGAAACCGUGUACGUACAAGCAGUGGGAGCACCCUUCGGGGUGUGACUGCGUACCUUUUGUAUAAUGGGUCAGCGACUUAUAUUCUGUAGCAAGGUUAACCGUAUAGGGGAGCCGCAGGGAAACCGAGUCUUAAU
RNAcentral lists this ribosomal RNA (510 nucleotides) under Salmonella enterica subsp. enterica serovar Stourbridge. RNAcentral's name for it is "partial 23S ribosomal RNA". It matches the Rfam family "Bacterial large subunit ribosomal RNA", at positions 137 to 688 of the family's 2925-position model. Lineage: Bacteria; Pseudomonadati; Pseudomonadota; Gammaproteobacteria; Enterobacterales; Enterobacteriaceae. The record is from RNAcentral.